This 253-nucleotide ribosomal RNA is filed under the name uncultured bacterium. RNAcentral describes it as "partial 16S ribosomal RNA". It matches the Rfam family "Bacterial small subunit ribosomal RNA", at positions 524 to 776 of the family's 1533-position model. The record is from RNAcentral.
UACGUAGGUGGCAAGCGUUGUCCGGAAUUAUUGGGCGUAAAGCGCGCGCAGGCGGUCCUUUAAGUCUGAUGUGAAAGCCCACGGCUCAACCGUGGAGGGUCAUUGGAAACUGGAGGACUUGAGUACAGAAGAGGAAAGCGGAAUUCCACGUGUAGCGGUGAAAUGCGUGGAGAUGUGGAGGAACACCAGUGGCGAAGGCGGCUUUCUGGUCUGUAACUGACGCUGAGGCGCGAAAGCGUGGGGAGCAAACAGG